This 408-nucleotide ribosomal RNA is filed under the name uncultured bacterium. RNAcentral's name for it is "partial 16S ribosomal RNA". It matches the Rfam family "Bacterial small subunit ribosomal RNA", at positions 28 to 526 of the family's 1533-position model. The record is from RNAcentral.
GACGAACGCUGGCGGCGUGCUUAACACAUGCAAGUCGAACGAAGUGGCGAACGGGUGAGUAACGCGUCAUCAACCUGCCCUUCAGAGGGGGACAACAGUUGGACACGACUGCUAAUACCGCAUACUGAAGGAGGGGAUUGCGUCUGAUUAGCUAGUUGGUGGGGUAACGGCCCACCACGGCGAUGAUCAGUAGGCGGGCUGAGAGGAGGAACGGCCAAAUUGGGACUGAGAACCGGCCCAGACUCCUACGGGAGGCAGCAGUGGGGAAGCUUCCGCAAUGGGCGAAAGUCGGACGGAGCAACGCCGCGUGAGUGAUGACGGCCUUCGGGUUGGAAAGCUCUGUUAAUCGGGACGCGGUACCGGAAUAGAAAGCCACGGCUAACUACGUGCCAGCCGCCGCGGUAAUAC